RNAcentral lists this ribosomal RNA (497 nucleotides) under uncultured bacterium. Its description in RNAcentral is "partial 16S ribosomal RNA". It matches the Rfam family "Bacterial small subunit ribosomal RNA", at positions 28 to 507 of the family's 1533-position model. The record is from RNAcentral.
GAUGAACGCUGGCGGCGUGCCUAAUACAUGCAAGUCGAGCGAACGGACCAGAAGCUUGCUUCGCUGUCGUUAGCCGAGGACGGGUGAGUAACACGUGGAUAACCUCCCUAUCAGACUGGUAUAAUCUCGGGAAACCGGAGCUAAUACCGUAUAAUAUCUUGAACCGCAUGGUUCAAUAGUGAGUUUCGGUCUUUCUGUCACUUAUCGAUGGAUCCGCGCUGCAUUAGCUAGUUGUUAAGUUAACGGCUUAUCAAGGCAACGAGGCAUAGCCGACGUGAGAGGGUGGUAGGCCACACGGGAAGUGAGACGGGGUCAAGGCGCCUACGGGAGGCAGCAGUAGGGAAUCGUACGCAGAGGGCGAGAGCAUGGCGGAGCAGCGGCGCGUGAGUGAUGAAGGUCUUCGGAUCGUAAAACUGUGUUAUUAGGGAAGAACAUAUGUGGAAGUAACUGUGGAGAGCUUGACGGUACCUAAUAAGAAAGCAACGGCUAACUACGUG